RNAcentral lists this ribosomal RNA (492 nucleotides) under uncultured bacterium. RNAcentral describes it as "partial 16S ribosomal RNA". It matches the Rfam family "Bacterial small subunit ribosomal RNA", at positions 29 to 507 of the family's 1533-position model. The record is from RNAcentral.
AGUGAACGCUGGCGGUAGGCCUAACACAUGCAAGUCGAACGGCAGCACAGUAAGAGCUUGCUCUUACGGGUGGCGAGUGGCGGACGGGUGAGGAAUACAUCGGAAUCUACUUUUUCGUGGGGGAUAACGUAGGGAAACUUACGCUAAUACCGCAUACGACCUACGGGUGAAAGCAGGGGAUCUUCGGACCUUGCGCGAUUGAAUGAGCCGAUGUCGGAUCAGCUAGUUGGCGGGGUAAAGGCCCACCAAGGCGACGAUCCGUAGCUGGUCUGAGAGGAUGAUCAGCCACACUGGAACUGAGACACGGUCCAGACUCCUACGGGAGGCAGCAGUGGGGAAUAUUGGACAAUGGGCGCAAACCUGAUCCAGCCAUACCGCGUGGGUGAAGAAGGCCUUCGGGUUGUAAAGCCCUUUUGUUGGGAAAGAAAAGCAGCAGGUUAAUACCCCGCUGUUCUGACGGUACCCAAAGAAUAAGCACCGGCUAACUUCGUG